Molecule: ribosomal RNA, 253 nt
Filed under: uncultured bacterium
Lineage: Bacteria
Description: partial 16S ribosomal RNA
Rfam family: Bacterial small subunit ribosomal RNA
Source: RNAcentral
UACGGAGGGUGCAAACGUUGCUCGGAAUCAUUGGGCGUAAAGCGCACGUAGGUGGCCUGUUAAGUCGGGUGUGAAAUCCCUGGGCUCAACCCAGGAAGUGCACUCGAAACUGGCAGGCUUGAGUACUGAAGAGGGUCGCGGAAUUCCCGGUGUAGAGGUGAAAUUCGUAGAUAUCGGGAGGAACACCAGUGGCGAAGGCGGCGACCUGGGCAGAUACUGACACUGAGGCACGAAGGUCAGGGGAGCAAACGGG